This is a regulatory RNA element of Mesorhizobium australicum, 54 nucleotides long. It matches the Rfam family "serC leader". Rfam says of the family: This family is a putative regulatory RNA structure that is found upstream of the serC-serA operon in some alpha-proteobacteria. The final stem of the structure overlaps the ribosome binding site of the serC reading frame. Lineage: Bacteria; Pseudomonadati; Pseudomonadota; Alphaproteobacteria; Hyphomicrobiales; Phyllobacteriaceae. The record is from Rfam.
GCGUGGGCCACCCCUCCCCAACGAGCGGGCUUACUAUCUGGAAGGAUAGACCAC